ACGACGCUGGCGGCGUGCCUAAUACAUGCAAGUCGAACGGUCUUUCUAUGGAAGCUUGCUUCCACUGAGAAGAUAGUGGCGAACGGGUGAGUAACACGUGGGUAACCUGCCCAUAAGAGGGGGAUAACAUCCGGAAACGGGUGCUAAUACCGCAUAGUUUUCUUGAUCGCAUGAUCGGGAAAGGAAAGACGGCCUUUGUGCUGUCGCUUAUGGAUGGACCCGCGGCGUAUUAGUUAGUUGGUGAGGUAACGGCUCACCAAGACGAUGAUACGUAGCCGACCUGAGAGGGUGAUCGGCCACAUUGGGACUGAGACACGGCCCAAACUCCUACGGGAGGCAGCAGUAGGGAAUCUUCCGCAAUGGACGAAAGUCUGACGGAGCAACGCCGCGUGAGUGAAAGAAGGUUUUCGGAUCGUAAAACUCUGUUGUCAGAGAAGAACAAGUUGGAGAGUAACUGCUCCAGCCUUGACGGUAUCUGACCAGAAAGCCACGGCUAACUACGUGCCAGCCGCCGC
RNAcentral lists this ribosomal RNA (515 nucleotides) under uncultured bacterium. RNAcentral's name for it is "bacterial SSU rRNA". It matches the Rfam family "Bacterial small subunit ribosomal RNA", at positions 32 to 518 of the family's 1533-position model. The record is from RNAcentral.